RNAcentral lists this ribosomal RNA (442 nucleotides) under uncultured bacterium. Its description in RNAcentral is "partial 16S ribosomal RNA". It matches the Rfam family "Bacterial small subunit ribosomal RNA", at positions 338 to 795 of the family's 1533-position model. The record is from RNAcentral.
ACUACGGGUGGCAGCAGUGGGGGAUAUUGCACAAUGGGGGAAACCCUGAUGCAGCGACGCCGCGUGGGCGAAGAAGUAUUUCGGUAUGUAAAGCCCUAUCAGCAGGGAAGAAGAAAUGACGGUACCUGAGUAAGAAGCACCGGCUAAAUACGUGCCUGCAGCCGCGGUAAUACGUAUGGUGCAAGCGUUAUCCGGAUUUACUGGGGGUAAAGGGAGCGCAGGCGGCACGGCAAGCCUGAUGUGAAAGCCCGCGGCCCAACCGCGGGACUGCAUUGGGAACUACCGGGCUGGAGUGCCGGAGAGGUAGGCGGAAUUCCUAGUGUAGCGGUGAAAUGCGUAGAUAUUAGGAGGAACACCAGUGGCGAAGGCGGCCUACUGGACGGUGACUGACGCUGAGGCUCGAAAGCGUGGGGAGCAAACAGGAUUAGAUACCCCUGUACUC